This 504-nucleotide ribosomal RNA is filed under the name uncultured bacterium. RNAcentral's name for it is "partial 16S ribosomal RNA". It matches the Rfam family "Bacterial small subunit ribosomal RNA", at positions 899 to 1397 of the family's 1533-position model. The record is from RNAcentral.
ACUCAAAUGAAUUGACGGGGGCUCACACAAGCGGUGGAGGAUGUGGUUUAAUUCGAAGCAACGCGAAGAACCUUACCAGGUCUUGACAUACCGGGAUUAAUCCGAUGAAAGUCGGAGGAUUGCCCUCAAGGUGUAACCGGAACAGGUGCUGCAUGGCUGUCGUCAGCUCGUGCCGUGAGGUGUUAGGUUAAGUCCUUUAACGAGCGAAACCCCUACGAUUAGUUACCAGCGGAUAACGCCGGGGACUCUAGUCGGACUGCCGCGGAAGUAGGAGGAAGGUGGGGACGACGUCAAGUCAUCAUGGCCUUUAUGAUCUGGGCUACACACGUCCUACAAUGGAUGGCACAAUGGGUAGCGAAGCUGCAAAGCGGAGCCAAUCCCAGAAAACCAUCCUCAGUUCAGAUUGUGGGCUGCAAUUCGCCCACAUGAAGCUGGAAUCGCUAGUAAUCGCGGAUCAGCUACGCCGCGGUGAAUAUGUUCCUGAGCCUUGUACACACCGCCCGU